This 614-nucleotide long non-coding RNA is filed under the name Nicotiana benthamiana. Its description in RNAcentral is "long non-coding RNA (NBEN_LNC028322)". Lineage: Eukaryota; Viridiplantae; Streptophyta; Magnoliopsida; Solanales; Solanaceae. The record is from RNAcentral.
CUUGAGCAUGCAUAGUUACCCAGACCUUUUUCACUAGCCAACCCCAAAUGUUUAUUACAAGUUAUUACAAACCAGAAAUACCGAAUUACAAAAGAAAUAAUGAAAGAAAAAACUACUACCAUAGAAAAUCCUGAUUUGACUUCCUAUCUGAGAUAUGCAAUGAACUAUAUCAUUGCCAAUGCCAUUGAUUUCAAGACCUUUCUCGGACCUGGAUGUGUCAGAGUUCUCUAAGGGCCUCAAUAGGACCCCAGGCAGUGCUUACACCCAGAUUUAUAGAACCGGAAUAGAGAUGAGUGAAGUGUGGAAAUGCCAUCCCUUAUGUGUCCAAGUUCAGAGGGAGCUCAUGUGUCCCAAGGCAAGAUUGACAUGAGGGGGAAGAACUUAAGUCUAAGAAGAGAGUGCAUGUGCAGAAACAGAGUUUUAAGAGCUGAGGGAAUAAAUGAGAGGAAAGGGUGAUGGGAGGCAGCAAUUAACAGAGUUCAGGGAGUCAAUAACUUCACAUAAAGGGGCCAGGGGAUUGGGAAUCCAUUGCAAGGAGCCUAUACACUUAGGCAUGGGUUAACUUUAGGCAUGCACAGCAAUAGAGAGUGCUGACAUGCCUGUAAAUCAACCAG